AAUUCGCCCUUGAGCACGUAGGUGGGUUUGUAAGUCAGAUGUGAAAGCCUUCUGUUCAACGGAAGAAUUGCAUCUGAAACUACAAGUCUUGAGUGUAGGAGGGGAGAAUGGAACUUCUGGUGGAGCGGUGAAAUCCGUAGAUAUCAGAAGGAACGCCGGCGGCGAAAGCGAUUCUCUGGCCUAUUACUGACACCCAGUGUGCGAAAGCUAGGGGAGCAAACGGGAUUAGAUACCCCAGUAGUCCUAGCCGUAAACGAUGGGCACUAAGUAGAGGGGAUUACCGACGUUCUCUCUGCCGCAGCUAACGCAUUAAGUGCCCCGCCUGGGGAGUACGGCCGCAAGGCUAAAACUCAAAAGAAUUGACGGGGGCUCGCACAAGCGGUGGAGCAUGUGGCUUAAUUCGAUGCAACGCGAAGAACCUUACCGGGGCUUGACAUGGUAGAAGUAGGAACCCGAAAGGGUAACGAACGGUAUCCAGUCCGUAACUAUCACAGGUGUUGCAUGGCUGUCGUCAGCUCGUGUCGUGAGACGUUGGGUUAAGUCCCCUAACGAGCGAAACCCUUGUUUUUAGUUACCAGCGGGUUGUGCCGGGUACUCUAGAAAGACUGCCGUCGUCAAGACGGAGGAAGGUGGGGAUGACGUCAAGUCAUCAUGGCCCUUAUGCCCCGGGCUGCACACGUGCUACAAUGGUCGGUACAAACGGAAGCGAAGCCGAGAGGUGAAGCGAAUCCAAGGGCGAAUU
RNAcentral lists this ribosomal RNA (742 nucleotides) under uncultured Planctomycetota bacterium. RNAcentral's name for it is "bacterial SSU rRNA". It matches the Rfam family "Bacterial small subunit ribosomal RNA", at positions 552 to 1288 of the family's 1533-position model. The record is from RNAcentral. Lineage: Bacteria; Pseudomonadati; Planctomycetota.